This 1375-nucleotide ribosomal RNA is filed under the name Kiwa tyleri. RNAcentral describes it as "16S ribosomal RNA". The record is from RNAcentral. Lineage: Eukaryota; Metazoa; Arthropoda; Malacostraca; Decapoda; Kiwaidae.
UACUAAAAACUAAAUUUUACUAUAAUUAUAUAAAUAAAAAAUAAUAUUAAAAAAUAAUUUAAAAUAUUUAAGACCUAGUAUAAUUUAUAUAAAUAACUAAUUAAGUAAUAGUUAAAUAGUAUUGUAAAAGAAAAUUUAAAUAAUUUAUAUUUUAUAUUUUUUUAAAGAAAUAAUAAAUAUUUGUAUCUUGUGUAUUAUAAAAAAUCAAAAUAAUAUUUAUAUAAAUUUAUCUCGAAAAAAGAAUAGCUAAAUUAAUAUAAAAUUUUUUAUAUCAAUAAAAUUUAUAAUAUUAAUUUUAGAAAUGAAAAAUUAAUCGAAUCUUUAUAUCUAGUUUUUAUUAAAAUGAAUUUAAUUCAACUUAUAUUUUAUAAAUAAAUAUAAAUAAAGAAAAUAAAAGUAAAGUUUUAUUUUCAAUAAUUAAAAUAAUAUGAAAAUUAAAUAAAAAAAAUAAUAAUUAGGACUUAAAGUCUCCAUAUUUAUAAAGUAUUUUAACUAAUAAUUAACUUUAAAUAAUUUAUUUUAUUUUCUAUUUCUACUAAAUAAAAUUAAUUUUUUCUUUAAUAUUUUUAAUUAUAAUGAUUUUAUUAGUAUAUAAAAAUAUUAAAAAUAAUAAUAUAAAUUAAUAUAAACUUUAUAAUUAUUUUUUUUUAUUUAAAAAAGAAACUCAGCAAAAAUUUUUUCCGCCUGUUUAACAAAAACAUGGCUUUAUGUAUUUAUAUAAAGUCUAACCUGCCCACUGAAAAUUUUUAAAGGGCCGCAGUAUCUUAACUGUGCAAAGGUAGCAUAAUCACUUGUCUUUUAAUUGAAGGCUUGAAUGAACGGUAGAACGAGAAAUAAUCUGUCUCUUUUAAAAAAAUUGAAUUUUACUUUUAAAUGAAAAGGUUUAAAUAAAUUAAAAAGACGAUAAGACCCUAUAAAUCUUUAUAUUAAUAAUUAUUUUUUUUAAUUAUAAAUAAAUAAAAAAUAAUAAUUAUAAUAUUUUAUUGGGGAGAUAUAAAUAUAAUUUUUAACUAUUUUAUUUUUAUAACAAUAAUAUUUGAUUUAUUAUAAUGAUCCUUUUUAAAGAUUACAAAAUUAAGUUACUUUAGGGAUAACAGCGUUAUCUUUUUUAAGAGUCCAUAUCGAAAAAAAAGUUUGCGACCUCGAUGUUGAAUUAAAAGAAUCCACAUAAACGCAAAAGUUAUAAAGGAAAGUCUGUUCGACUUUUAAAAUUUUACAUGAUUUGAGUUCAGACCGGCGUAAGCCAGGUCGGUUUCUAUCUUUUAAUAAUAAUAAAUUAUUUUAGUACGAAAGGAUUAAAUAAUUAAAAUAUUUUUAUAAUAAAGAUUAAUAUUACUUCUUAAAAAAAUAAAUAUUAUAUAUAAUAUAUAUAUAU